AGCUAAGACAAGUAGCUGGCACUUGUUGGCCAGGGCAUCUGCAGGUUGGUGGCUAGACUGGUAGCUUCCCUCAGAGGUGUUGAGUCUUCAGAGCUGUGGACUUUCUUGUUGCUCAAACCAGCAGAGCACCUUCAAGUCUCUUACUGAAUUGGAAUCGCAAUUGUUUGGUAUGCACAUGUUGUCAACUUGACAGAGAUCUUGGAUAUAUUCCCAUUUCUCUGGCAGAGAUUCAAAGACUAACAGGAGCAGAUAUAUUUUGCACCUGAGUGAGUGAAGAUCAAGCACAGGAGAAAAUUAACAGGGAGGAGGCAGUGUCAUGACUCCACGUGAGCAGCUAAGGAAGAUAACAGCACUUGGAGAGCAAGGUGCUCUAGAUGAGAAACACUGGUACCGACUAGUCAAUGGAAUGUCUACUGGAGAGUUGCGGCAGAGGCAGGAGCUCAUGAUGAGGAACCAGAUGGCAAUGGCUCCACAGAUCCUGGUUCAGGGGCAGCAGAGACUGCAGGGUGUGCCCACACAGUUUGAUCCCCGCUUCAUGGAGAGGGAACUGGUGCCACCCACUGAAAUGGUAUCAGCUGAUGCUAGACAAAUCCACAUGGGUACCCAUCUUGGUCCACCUCCGCCCCAAAAUUCCAAUGUUAUUCCAGGCCGAGGAUUCCCUGGAACAGGUUAUGGCUACCUUCCUGCUGAAACCAUGGAAACAGUUGCAAGACGACAAGAGUUAAUUCACAAGCAGAAUAUAGCCAGGAUGGAGAUGAAUGCUAUCCUGCACCAAAAAGAGCUGGAGAAUGCCCACCAAAAGGGUCUGAUUGGCAUGGAGAAUCCCAUGAUGUACCAGGGCAUCCAACACAAUCCCAUGGCCUUCAGGGGCCGCCAGCGACUUCCAGAUGGACAUGAUGUCUUCAUCCACCGUACUGCCCUUGAAGACUUGCAUGCUAACAGUCUCCUCAUAUCAAGCCCCUACCCACCAAUCAGCACACUGCAAAGGGAGCGAGGACGCAGGACAGGCAGAAGAGCCACCAAUCACAAGAGCUCAGACAGCAACCUCACACUCCCCAAAUGCCAAUCAGAAGAGAAGAAUGUAGAGCAAAGUCCAGGAGGUGCUUCAUGGGAGGAGAAGGAGGCAGGAGGAAAAGGUGACAUGAGUAAUGAGGCCCCCAUCCACAAACCACACCACACCAAUAUGGAAACUGAGCUGUCUUCAGGCAGCAGUAGAAAAAGUUUUAAAGAAGGAGAGCCUGGGAUUCGCAAAGCCUGUAUUAGUCGACAGGAGGGCUGUUCAGAAGUCACCAACUACAAAGCUAGCACCAGUGACAAAGACAUAUCCAACCCAUGCUCAGCUUUCCAAGAGAAGUUUCUGCACCCUUCUGCCACUGGCCCAACUGGCAUGCCCUACAUGCUUCCAAUGCCAGGAAAUGGACUUCUACCAAUUGGGCCUUCUAAUAUGUUUCUCAAUGGAGAAGAGAUGUCUUCACAGGAAGAUGUUCGCAAGUGGACAGUUGAUGAUGUCUACAACUUUAUAAGUGAAAUACCAAGCUGUUCUGAAUAUGCACAGACGUUCAAAGACCACAUGAUUGAUGGAGAGACAUUGCCUCUUCUUACAGAGGACCACCUUCUGGACACUCUUGGGCUAAAGCUUGGCCCUGCACUCAAGAUACGAUCACUGUUGUCACGGCGGUUGGGUAACAUGUACUAUAACAUGAUGAACUUGCCGUUGCCUGUAUCUGGUCUGCAGCUUGCACCUGAGAAAGGUGGGGACAGAUCAUCAGAUAUUAGCUCCCCCCUCAACUGCAACAAUGUGGAGAUGCUUGGCAGCCCCCGGGACACGGAGGCCCUUAAAUCCACAGAGCCUGUAACUGAAGCUGACAAUCCUUCUCCCACCCAAAUGAGUGAGACAACCUAAGAAGACAUGAAGAACUACUGGACUAUUCACUUUUUUACCUCAAGAAUCUGUUGUGAUGCCCAAUGCAUUAGCUAACAAUCCAAUCCCACUGCUGUGUGUUGCUGAGUGAUGACUACUAACUGCAGUCUGUACCAACCAUACAGCGAGGGGCACUUCGAUGAUCACUGACUGCAUCACUUCAGUCUUCUAUGAUGGACUUCACAGAGGAUGAGCUGCUACCAGCUCCAUGGGAUACUUCACUAUCCACUGCCUGCACCUCGGGCUUAGGAUGGACUUCACCAAAAUUAACCACCAAGCUUCCAGCCAGACUGUGAGGCACACCUUGCUGACCUCUGCCUGCAUCAUCUUGGUCAUAGGAUGGACUACACUCUCUUAAAAUUAAAUACAUACUGUAUGUAGCAGGAUAGGCUGUCACCUUUCUGUUUUAUGUGUAAUGAUGUCAUUGAUUGACUGCUAGUCAUUGUCAAAGCUGGUCUAUUUAAGGGCUCUUGUCAGCCAACUGGGAAUGUGUUGCUGUCAACCCUGCCCUCUUUCCGGUAUCACAUGGGUCAUCCGAGUGCUACUUCCAGUUAGCUGAUUAGCUAAGUCAUCAUGGCUUGUUGUUUUGGUCAGUGCAUGUUUAACUGUAGUGAACCAAAGGAUGUUUCCUAUGUUGAGAACUGUAGUGCUGGCUGUUCAUCCCCAGCGAGUGUAUCUGCUGCUUAACUACUAUUGGCUGCUUUGGCAUGGUCUAAUGAGCCACCUUAACCCGGUGGGCUGGUUGACAAUGACAUGCUGAAGUGUUCCCUCGGUGGCUACAGUUGUGUGGUUCACCUUCUUUGGAACACUCCAGGGCAGCUCCUAUCUAUCUGUUUCAAUACAGGAACACCUAAAUCUCCAAAACGGCUGGUCAAGAUUACAAUCAAAGAACAAAUUUCAAAUCAGCAGUAAAAUCUGACAACACUGGUAACAAAUCAUGCUUCUUUACCUCAGAUUACGCUAAAAAACUUUGUUUUUUCCCCCGCCUUGUUGAGCUAAUGCGCAUGCACAUUCUCAAGUUGACUUACAGGUGAUGUCUUUAUCUAAAAGGUGCCCUGAAUCCCGAUACCUAUACUGGUAAUGGAGUCAGGUCCAAAACAAUGUGAGAUUAUUUAACUGUAAAAGCUGCGAUUUAAUGAGAUAAAUAUAUAGUUUGUGUGUGCUGCGCGUAUUAAAUGUGAGCACUUGUGAAUGUGUUGAGCCGGUGUUGUGCAGACAUAAAGACACACAGUGCUCAAACCUUUGAGAGAUCCUUGACUCAAACACAGAAAAUGCUAUCAUGAGCAUUGUGCGCUCUGUUUGUAGCAGAUGAUAGCAAAUGUAAACAAAUGUUAGCGUGGCACAUACAGACUACAUAUUUAUGUAAUUAAAUAGCAGCCUUUUAAUAAUAAUUACUUUGAGUCACGUAGCGACCGGCUUUCCAGAUUGAGAAGCUACUGUCAUAACACAGAAACACUUCAAAAUAUAAGCUCCGCCAAAAUAAAAGCUUAAUUUUAAGGUCUUGUUAUUGGUCACUUUCACUCUUGGAAUAAACUAAUCAUGGCUGAUUGUGAAUAGUGAAUUUCAACAAUGGCAUUUGUAACAGAGAACUACUGAUUUUGAAUGAUGCACACCACUAGGUGCCACUGUAAGUCCAAGAUGACACAAACAAAAAGUUACUGAGUGCACCUCUAAAGGGAAAAAGUGCGACAAAAUAGAUCACUGCUGUAUAGUUAUGUAAUACUGUAUUCACUAUAACACUGCUACUAGUAAUAAAAAUAAUAAUAAAUCAAUAGUAAUUGUAUUAUAUUUAAAGGGACAGUUCACCCAAAAAUGAAAAUUAUCUCAUCAUUUACUCACCCUCAUGUCAUCCCUGAUGUCUAUGACUUUCUCUCUUCUGCAGAACACAAAUUAAGAUUUUUAGAAGAAUAUUUCAGCUCUGUAGGUCCAUAAAAUGCAAGUGAAUGGUGGCCAGAACCCUGAAGGUUCAGAUAUCACAUAAAUGCAUCAUAAAAGUAAUCCAUAAGACUCCAUUGGUUUAAUCAAUGUCUUCUGAAGCUAUCCAGUCAGUUUUGGUUGAGAACAGACCAAAAUAUUCUCAAAAGAUCACAAUUGCCGAGGAGACUGCUGUCAAGAUUUAUAGUGAAAAGGAGUUACAUUUUGGUCUGUUCCAACCCAAACAUUUUGUAUUUUGGAAUGUGCUGUGAGGUUCUGUAUAAAAGCAUUUAAUUUGAUAAAAAUAAUACAAUAUUAUGUAAUUAUUAAUUGUUAUAUUUUUAUUUAAUUAAAGUUAAACACCAUUUCGAUGAUAACAUUUAAAUAAACUGUUGACAUGGAAUUCAGAAAAACAGUGAGGGACAGCUUGAGGGCAGUAAAUAAUCUUGUUUAUUUUCUUUUUGCUAGCCAGCUGUCAUGCCAUUUUACAGAUACAUCGUUGAUGAAAAGAAAUUCAAAUUAUAUGUAUCUUUUCUUUGAUAAAGCACUAAAAAGAAAAGAUGACUGAAACAAGCGUAUUGCUAGCAUUGCUAGCACAUUUUAAAAUUUAAACAUUUUAUUGCAUUUAAAGCCUUUAUUCAGAAAAUUAUUGCAUUUAUCGCCUUUACUAUUUUAAAGGACAGAGGACCAUUAUGUUCAAGACACGGUUACAGCCAUGGUUGUAUGGGUAUCUAAGUGUGUUAUUAGUUAUCAUUAUUGGAUGUGAAUCUCUGUAAUUCCAAAAUUCCAAGCAUUUUCAAUGCUUUUAUUGUUUUUAUUGAGGGUUGUGAGACAAAAUAAAAAGAGAAUAUAUUUUUGUACUGGUAUCC
Myxocyprinus asiaticus (Chinese sucker) is the source of this 4704-nucleotide RNA transcript. It is a transcript of the gene named sterile alpha motif domain-containing protein 7-like, with no coding region annotated. The record is from RefSeq and is a predicted model, not a curated record. NCBI's taxonomy places the organism in Eukaryota, Metazoa, Chordata, Actinopteri, Cypriniformes, Catostomidae. The transcript is spliced from 11 exons.